UAGGGAAUCUUCCGCAAUGGACGCAAGUCUGACGGAGCAACGCCGCGUGAGUGAAGAAGGAUUUCGGUUCGUAAAACUCUGUUGUUAGAGAAGAACAGCGCAUAGAGUAACUGUUAUGCGUGUGACGGUAUCUAACCAGAAAGCCACGGCUAACUACGUGCCAGCAGCCGCGGUAAUACGUAGGUGGCAAGCGUUGUCCGGAUUUAUUGGGCGUAAAGCGAGCGCAGGCGGUCAAUUAAGUCUGAUGUGAAAGCCCCCGGCUCAACCGGGGAGGGUCAUUGGAAACUGGUUGACUGGAGUGCAGAAGAGGAGAGUGGAAUUCCAUGUGUAGCGGUGAAAUGCGUAGAUAUAUGGAGGAACACAAGUGGCGAAGGCGACUCUCUGGUCUGUAACUGACGCUGAGGUUCGAAAGCGUGGGUAGCAAACAGG
Molecule: ribosomal RNA, 429 nt
Filed under: Bacteroidota bacterium
Lineage: Bacteria; Pseudomonadati; Bacteroidota
Description: Bacteroidetes bacterium partial 16S ribosomal RNA
Rfam family: Bacterial small subunit ribosomal RNA
Source: RNAcentral